RNAcentral lists this ribosomal RNA (114 nucleotides) under Citrus sinensis (sweet orange). The record is from RNAcentral. Lineage: Eukaryota; Viridiplantae; Streptophyta; Magnoliopsida; Sapindales; Rutaceae.
GGGUAAGGCCAUAACAGCACUAAUACACCGGAUCCUCUUUUCGCAGUUAAGCGUGCUUGGGUGAGAGUUGUUCUAAGAUGGGUAUCCUCUUUGGAAGUCGUCGUGUUGCACCCU